GCAGCAGCCGCGGGAAUACGAAGGGGGCUAGCGUUGCUCGGAAUUACUGGGCGUAAAGGGAGCGUAGGCGGACAUUUAAGUCAGGGGUGAAAUCCCAGAGCUCAACUCUGGAACUGCCUUUGAUACUGGGUGUCUUGAGUGUGAUAGAGGUAUGUGGAACUCCGAGUGUAGAGGUGAAAUUCGUAGAUAUUCGGAAGAACACCAGUGGCGAAGGCGACAUACUGGAUCAUUACUGACGCUGAGGCUCGAAAGCGUGGGGAGCAAACAGGAUUAGAUACCCGUGUAGUCCCUGUCUCUUAUAC
Molecule: ribosomal RNA, 302 nt
Filed under: uncultured bacterium
Lineage: Bacteria
Description: partial 16S ribosomal RNA
Rfam family: Bacterial small subunit ribosomal RNA
Source: RNAcentral